UACGUAGGGUGCGAGCGUUAAUCGGAAUUACUGGGCGUAAAGCGUGCGCAGGCGGUUUUGUAAGCCAGAUGUGAAAGCCCCGGGCUUAACCUGGGAAUGGCAUUUGGGACUGCAAGGCUUGAGUGCGGCAGAGGAGACUGGAAUUCCUGGUGUAGCAGUGAAAUGCGUAGAUAUCAGGAGGAAUGCCGAUGGCGAAGGCAGGUCUCUGGGCUGACACUGACGCUCAUGCACGAAAGCGUGGGGAGCAAACAGG
This 253-nucleotide ribosomal RNA is filed under the name uncultured bacterium. Its description in RNAcentral is "partial 16S ribosomal RNA". It matches the Rfam family "Bacterial small subunit ribosomal RNA", at positions 524 to 776 of the family's 1533-position model. The record is from RNAcentral.